GGUUAAGCGACUAAGCGUACACGGUGGAUGCCCUGGCAGUCAGAGGCGAUGAAGGACGUGCUAAUCUGCGAAAAGCGUCGGUAAGGUGAUAUGAACCGUUAUAACCGGCGAUGUCCGAAUGGGGAAACCCAGUGUGAUUCGUCACACUAUCGUUAACUGAAUACAUAGGUUAACGAGGCGAACCGGGGGAACUGAAACAUCUAAGUACCCCGAGGAAAAGAAAUCAACCGAGAUUCCCCCAGUAGCGGCGAGCGAACGGGGAGCAGCCCAGAGUCUGAAUCAGCUUGUGUGUUAGUGGAACGGUCUGGAAAGUCCGACGGUACAGGGUGAUAGUCCCGUACACCAAAAUGCACAGGUUGUGAACUCGAAGAGUAGGGCGGGACACGUGGUAUCCUGUCUGAAUAUGGGGGGACCAUCCUCCAAGGCUAAAUACUCCUGACUGACCGAUAGUGAACCAGUACCGUGAGGGAAAGGCGAAAAGAACCCCGGCGAGGGGAGUGAAAAAGAACCUGAAACCGUGUACGUACAAGCAGUGGGAGCACCUUCGGGUGUGACUGCGUACCUUUUGUAUAAUGGGUCAGCGACUUAUAUUCUGUAGCAAGGUUAACCGUAUAGGGGAGCCGCAGGGAAACCGAGUCUUAACUGGGCGUUAAGUUGCAGGGUAUAGACCCGAAACCCGGUGAUCUAGCCAUGGGCAGGUUGAAGGUUGGGUAACACUAACUGGAGGACCGAACCGACUAAUGUUGAAAAAUUAGCGGAUGACUUGUGGCUGGGGGUGAAAGGCCAAUCAAACCGGGAGAUAGCUGGUUCUCCCCGAAAGCUAUUUAGGUAGCGCCUCGUGAAUUCAUCUUCGGGGGUAGAGCACUGUUUCGGCUAGGGGGUCAUCCCGACUUACCAACCCGAUGCAAACUACGAAUACCGAAGAAUGUUAUCACGGGAGACACACGGCGGGUGCUAACGUCCGUCGUGAAGAGGGAAACAACCCAGACCGCCAGCUAAGGUCCCAAAGUCAUGGUUAAGUGGGAAACGAUGUGGGAAGGCACAGACAGCCAGGAUGUUGGCUUAGAAGCAGCCAUCAUUUAAAGAAAGCGUAAUAGCUCACUGGUCGAGUCGGCCUGCGCGGAAGAUGUAACGGGGCUAAACCAUGCACCGAAGCUGCGGCAGCGACACUAUGUGUUGUUGGGUAGGGGAGCGUUCUGUAAGCCUGCGAAGGUGUGCUGUGAGGCAUGCUGGAGGUAUCAGAAGUGCGAAUGCUGACAUAAGUAACGAUAAAGCGGGUGAAAAGCCCGCUCGCCGGAAGACCAAGGGUUCCUGUCCAACGUUAAUCGGGGCAGGGUGAGUCGACCCCUAAGGCGAGGCCGAAAGGCGUAGUCGAUGGGAAACAGGUUAAUAUUCCUGUACUUGGUGUUACUGCGAAGGGGGGACGGAGAAGGCUAUGUUAGCCGGGCGACGGUUGUCCCGGUUUAAGCAUGUAGGCUGGUUGUCCAGGCAAAUCCGGAUAAUCAAGGCUGAGGUGUGAUGACGAGGCACUACGGUGCUGAAGUAACAAAUGCCCUGCUUCCAGGAAAAGCCUCUAAGCAUCAGGUAACAUCAAAUCGUACCCCAAACCGACACAGGUGGUCAGGUAGAGAAUACCAAGGCGCUUGAGAGAACUCGGGUGAAGGAACUAGGCAAAAUGGUGCCGUAACUUCGGGAGAAGGCACGCUGGUGUGUAGGUGAAGUCCCUGCGGAUGGAGCUGAGACCAGUCGAAGAUACCAGCUGGCUGCAACUGUUUAUUAAAAACACAGCACUGUGCAAACACGAAAGUGGACGUAUACGGUGUGACGCCUGCCCGGUGCCGGAAGGUUAAUUGAUGGGGUUAUCCGUAAGGAGAAGCUCUUGAUCGAAGCCCCGGUAAACGGCGGCCGUAACUAUAACGGUCCUAAGGUAGCGAAAUUCCUUGUCGGGUAAGUUCCGACCUGCACGAAUGGCGUAAUGAUGGCCAGGCUGUCUCCACCCGAGACUCAGUGAAAUUGAACUCGCUGUGAAGAUGCAGUGUACCCGCGGCAAGACGGAAAGACCCCGUGAACCUUUACUAUAGCUUGACACUGAACAUUGAGCCUUGAUGUGUAGGAUAGGUGGGAGGCUUUGAAGCGUGGACGCCAGUCUGCGUGGAGCCAACCUUGAAAUACCACCCUUUAAUGUUUGAUGUUCUAACGUUGGCCCCUUACCGGGGUUGCGGACAGUGUCUGGUGGGUAGUUUGACUGGGGCGGUCUCCUCCCAAAGCGUAACGGAGGAGCACGAAGGUUAGCUAAUCCUGGUCGGACAUCAGGAGGUUAGUGCAAUGGCAUAAGCUAGCUUGACUGCGAGCGUGACGGCGCGAGCAGGUGCGAAAGCAGGUCAUAGUGAUCCGGUGGUUCUGAAUGGAAGGGCCAUCGCUCAACGGAUAAAAGGUACUCCGGGGAUAACAGGCUGAUACCGCCCAAGAGUUCAUAUCGACGGCGGUGUUUGGCACCUCGAUGUCGGCUCAUCACAUCCUGGGGCUGAAGUAGGUCCCAAGGGUAUGGCUGUUCGCCAUUUAAAGUGGUACGCGAGCUGGGUUUAGAACGUCGUGAGACAGUUCGGUCCCUAUCUGCCGUGGGCGCUGGAGAAUUGAGGGGGGCUGCUCCUAGUACGAGAGGACCGGAGUGGACGCAUCACUGGUGUUCGGGUUGUCAUGCCAAUGGCACUGCCCGGUAGCUAAAUGCGGAAGAGAUAAGUGCUGAAAGCAUCUAAGCACGAAACUUGCCCCGAGAUGAGUUCUCCCUGAGACUUUAAGUCUCCUGAAGGAACGUUAAAGACGAUGACGUUGAUAGGCCGGGUGUGUAAGCGCAGCGAUGCGUUGAGCUAACCGGUACUAAUGAACCGUGAGGCUUAACCUU
Molecule: ribosomal RNA, 2902 nt
Filed under: Klebsiella pneumoniae
Lineage: Bacteria; Pseudomonadati; Pseudomonadota; Gammaproteobacteria; Enterobacterales; Enterobacteriaceae
Also listed under: 1 other name
Description: 23S ribosomal RNA
Rfam family: Bacterial large subunit ribosomal RNA
Source: RNAcentral